GGGGUAAUAGCCGCUAAAUCCAUGAGAAUUUUUAAUUUUCUGGUAUAUAUCAUGACCCCUCAAUUUGACUUCAAAAUACAUCAAUUUAUAAUUGGUUCUGAUUUUUCCCUCGAUUUAGGAAUCCGGCGAAAUCGAAACUGACGUGGACGCCGGAAUGCCAACGUGACAGCCGGAAUAACCACGUCACACACACACACACUCCCCACUCUCUCUCUCACACACCCCACUUUCUCUCUCUCUUACACGUCACCACUCUCUCACAGCUUCACAACUCUCUCUCAUCUCUCGGCUCCGCCGCCCUCCCCCUUGACCGCCACCACAGCUCCGGCCGGUAGCUUCGCCGGCCCAGAGCCUCCGCCUCUGCUCUCUCUCGCUCAUCUCCUCCGCCUCAAACAGAUCGAGCUUGAGCUUCCGCCUCUGCUUCUCUCUCUCGCUUAUCUCCUCUGCACCUCCGUCUCCGCCUCUCUCCCCCCCUACGCCGCCCUCCACAACCUCCAAAUUCAUUCCACAACACCAAAUUCACAAUUCUCUCAAACGGCGACGUCGAACCAGAAUGGGAGGGGGGUCGAGCCCUGUUGUGAACAAGAAUUCAGAGAGAGAUAAGCUCUGGUGCAGGGCGUCGAAUUCUCCGGAAGAGCGGCAUUUCCCGUCGAACUGAUGGGGGGAAAUUAGGGCUCACCCUUUUGCCUCGAUUGUGGGAGAGUGAGGUGCAGAGACGAGGAGGUGAGAUGGGCUGAAGCAGCGGCCGUUUGCCAUUCUUCAGGUUGCAGCGGCGGGAUUUCGUAGGGAGAGGGGUGGCCGG
RNAcentral lists this long non-coding RNA (802 nucleotides) under Salvia miltiorrhiza (redroot sage). RNAcentral's name for it is "long non-coding RNA (SMIL_LNC007760)". Lineage: Eukaryota; Viridiplantae; Streptophyta; Magnoliopsida; Lamiales; Lamiaceae. The record is from RNAcentral.